Molecule: ribosomal RNA, 509 nt
Filed under: uncultured bacterium
Lineage: Bacteria
Description: bacterial SSU rRNA
Rfam family: Bacterial small subunit ribosomal RNA
Source: RNAcentral
CGAACGCUGGCGGCGUGCUUAACACAUGCAAGUCGAACGCGAAAGGGACUUCGGUCCUGAGUAAAGUGGCGCACGGGUGAGUAACGCGUAGAUAACCUGUCUUCAUGUCUGGAAUAAUACGCCGAAAGGGGUACUAAUACCGGAUAUUCUUGCUUUUCAUAAGUAUGCAAGCAAAGGUGGCCUCUGCAUAUGCUACUGCAUGAAGAGGGGUCGUGCGUACCAUUAGCUAGUAGGUGGGGUAAUGGCCUACCUAGGCGACGAUGGUUAGCGGGUCUGAGAGGAUGAUCCGCCACACUGGCACUGGAACACAGGCCAGACUCCUACGGGAGGCAGCAGUGAGGAAUAUUGCGCAAUGGGGGAAACCCUGACGCAGCGACGCCGCGUGAGUGAAGGAAGGCCUUCGGGUCGUAAAGCUCUGUCAAGAGGAAAGAAGUGUACAAUGGCUAAUACCUGUUGUAUUUGACGGUACCUCUAAAGGAAGCACCGGCUAACUCCGUGCCAGCAGCCGC